AGUCGAGCGGAGUGAUGGUGCUUGCACUAUCACUUAGCGGCGGACGGGUGAGUAAUGCUUAGGAAUCUGCCAUUUAGUGGGGGACAACAUUCCGAAAGGAAUGCUAAUACCGCAUACGUCCUACGGGAGAAAGCAGGGGAUCUUCGGACCUUGCGCUAAAUGAUGAGCCUAAGUCGGAUUAGCUAGUUGGUGGGGUAAAGGCCUACCAAGGCGACGAUCUGUAGCGGGUCUGAGAGGAUGAUCCGCCACACUGGGACUGAGACACGGCCCAGACUCCUACGGGAGGCAGCAGUGGGGAAUAUUGGACAAUGGGCGGAAGCCUGAUCCAGCCAUGCCGCGUGUGUGAAGAAGGCCUUUUGGUUGUAAAGCACUUUAAGCGAGGAGGAGGCUACUAGUACUAAUACUACUGGAUAGUGGACGUUACUCGCAGAAUAAGCACCGGCUAACUCUGUGCCAGCAGCCGCGGUAAUACAGAGGGUGCGAGCGUUAAUCGGAUUUACUGGGCGUAAAGCGUGCGUAGGCGGCUUUUUAAGUCGGAUGUGAAAUCCCCGAGCUUAACUUGGGAAUUGCAUUCGAUACUGGGAAGCUAGAGUAUGGGAGAGGAUGGUAGAAUUCCAGGUGUAGCGGUGAAAUGCGUAGAGAUCUGGAGGAAUACCGAUGGCGAAGGCAGCCAUCUGGCCUAAUACUGACGCUGAGGUACGAAAGCAUGGGGAGCAAACRGGAUUAGAUACCCUGGUAGUCCAUGCC
RNAcentral lists this ribosomal RNA (747 nucleotides) under Acinetobacter sp. DsA.N037. Its description in RNAcentral is "bacterial SSU rRNA". It matches the Rfam family "Bacterial small subunit ribosomal RNA", at positions 60 to 801 of the family's 1533-position model. Lineage: Bacteria; Pseudomonadati; Pseudomonadota; Gammaproteobacteria; Moraxellales; Moraxellaceae. The record is from RNAcentral.